RNAcentral lists this unclassified non-coding RNA (229 nucleotides) under plant metagenome. RNAcentral describes it as "partial contains small subunit ribosomal RNA, internal transcribed spacer 1, and 5.8S ribosomal RNA". The record is from RNAcentral.
UCUCCGUAGGUGAACCUGCGGAGGGAUCAUUACAGAGUUCAUGCCCUACCGGGUAGAUCUCCCACCCUAUGUUAUUGUUACUUUGUUGCUUUGGCGGGCCGUUAGGCUCCGGCCCGACUACCGGCCCCGGCUGGUAAGCGCCCGCCAGAGGACCCAAAACCCUGAAUAUUAGUGUCGUCUGAGUACUAUAUAAUAGUUAAAACUUUCAACAACGGGUCUCUUGGUUCUG